GGGUUGUGAGGUUAAGCGACUAAGCGUACACGGUGGAUGCCCUGGCAGUCAGAGGCGAUGAAGGACGUGCUAAUCUGCGAUAAGCGUCGGUAAGGUGAUAUGAACCGUUAUAACCGGCGAUUUCCGAAUGGGGAAACCCAGUGUGAUUCGUCACACUAUCAUUAACUGAAUCCAUAGGUUAAUGAGGCGAACCGGGGGAACUGAAACAUCUAAGUACCCCGAGGAAAAGAAAUCAACCGAGAUUCCCCCAGUAGCGGCGAGCGAACGGGGAGCAGCCCAGAGCCUGAAUCAGUGUGUGUGUUAGUGGAAGCGUCUGGAAAGGCGUGCGAUACAGGGUGACAGCCCCGUACACAAAAAUGCACAUAUUGUGAGCUCGAUGAGUAGGGCGGGACACGUGGUAUCCUGUCUGAAUAUGGGGGGACCAUCCUCCAAGGCUAAAUACUCCUGACUGACCGAUAGUGAACCAGUACCGUGAGGGAAAGGCGAAAAGAACCCCGGCGAGGGGAGUGAAAAAGAACCUGAAACCGUGUACGUACAAGCAGUGGGAGCACGCUUAGGCGUGUGACUGCGUACCUUUUGUAUAAUGGGUCAGCGACUUAUAUUCUGUAGCAAGGUUAACCGAAUAGGGGAGCCGAAGGGAAACCGAGUCUUAACUGGGCGUUAAGUUGCAGGGUAUAGACCCGAAACCCGGUGAUCUAGCCAUGGGCAGGUUGAAGGUUGGGUAACACUAACUGGAGGACCGAACCGACUAAUGUUGAAAAAUUAGCGGAUGACUUGUGGCUGGGGGUGAAAGGCCAAUCAAACCGGGAGAUAGCUGGUUCUCCCCGAAAGCUAUUUAGGUAGCGCCUCGUGAAUUCAUCUCCGGGGGUAGAGCACUGUUUCGGCAAGGGGGUCAUCCCGACUUACCAACCCGAUGCAAACUGCGAAUACCGGAGAAUGUUAUCACGGGAGACACACGGCGGGUGCUAACGUCCGUCGUGAAGAGGGAAACAACCCAGACCGCCAGCUAAGGUCCCAAAGUCAUGGUUAAGUGGGAAACGAUGUGGGAAGGCCCAGACAGCCAGGAUGUUGGCUUAGAAGCAGCCAUCAUUUAAAGAAAGCGUAAUAGCUCACUGGUCGAGUCGGCCUGCGCGGAAGAUGUAACGGGGCUAAACCAUGCACCGAAGCUGCGGCAGCGACACUAUGUGUUGUUGGGUAGGGGAGCGUUCUGUAAGCCUGUGAAGGUGUACUGUGAGGUAUGCUGGAGGUAUCAGAAGUGCGAAUGCUGACAUAAGUAACGAUAAAGCGGGUGAAAAGCCCGCUCGCCGGAAGACCAAGGGUUCCUGUCCAACGUUAAUCGGGGCAGGGUGAGUCGACUCCUAAGGCGAGGCCGAAAGGCGUAGUCGAUGGGAAACAGGUUAAUAUUCCUGUACUUGGUGUUACUGCGAAGGGGGGACGGAGAAGGCUAUGUUGGCCGGGCGACGGUUGUCCCGGUUUAAGCGUGUAGGCUGGUUUUCCAGGCAAAUCCGGAAAACUAAGGCUGAGGCGUGAUGACGAGGCACUACGGUGCUGAAGCAACAAAUGCCCUGCUUCCAGGAAAAGCCUCUAAGCAUCAGGUAACAUCAAAUCGUACCCCAAACCGACACAGG
Molecule: ribosomal RNA, 1628 nt
Filed under: Shigella flexneri
Lineage: Bacteria; Pseudomonadati; Pseudomonadota; Gammaproteobacteria; Enterobacterales; Enterobacteriaceae
Description: partial 23S ribosomal RNA
Rfam family: Bacterial large subunit ribosomal RNA
Source: RNAcentral